GGACGAACGCUGGCGGCGUGCCUAAUACAUGCAAGUCGAGCGGAGAAAWKRGAGCUUGCUCYMWUUUCUUAGCGGCGGACGGGUGAGUAACACGUGGGCAACCUGCCCUGCAGAUCGGGAUAACUCCGGGAAACCGGUGCUAAUACCGAAUAGUUUGGCGCCUCUCCUGAGGCGCCACGGAAAGACGGUUUCGGCUGUCACUGCAGGAUGGGCCCGCGGCGCAUUAGCUAGUUGGUGGGGUAACGGCCCACCAAGGCGACGAUGCGUAGCCGACCUGAGAGGGUGAUCGGCCACACUGGGACUGAGACACGGCCCAGACUCCUACGGGAGGCAGCAGUAGGGAAUCUUCCGCAAUGGACGCAAGUCUGACGGAGCAACGCCGCGUGAGUGACGAAGGUUUUCGGAUCGUAAAACUCUGUUGUGAGGGAAGAAACCGUACCARSUAACUACUGGUACCUUGACGGUACCUCACCAGAAAGCCACGGCUAACUACGU
Molecule: ribosomal RNA, 495 nt
Filed under: Planococcaceae bacterium 'ARUP UnID 530'
Lineage: Bacteria; Bacillati; Bacillota; Bacilli; Caryophanales; Caryophanaceae
Description: bacterial SSU rRNA
Rfam family: Bacterial small subunit ribosomal RNA
Source: RNAcentral